GACGAACGCUGGCGGCGUGCUUAACACAUGCAAGUCGAACGGAAAGGCCCCCACUUUUUUGGUGGGGGUGCUCGAGUGGCGAACGGGUGAGUAACACGUGGGUGAUCUGCCCUGUACUUCGGGAUAAGCUUGGGAAACUGGGUCUAAUACCGGAUAGGACCAUGGUUUCGUGUCUCAUGGUGGAAAAAUUAUUGUUUUUGUGCAGGAUGAGCUCGCGGCCUAUCAGCUUGUUGGUGGGGUAAUGGCCUACCAAGGCGUCGACGGGUAGCCGGCCUGAGAGGGUGGACGGCCACAUUGGGACUGAGAUACGGCCCAGACUCCUACGGGAGGCAGCAGUGGGGAAUAUUGCACAAUGGGCGAAAGCCUGAUGCAGCGACGCCGCGUGGGGGAUGACGGCCUUCGGGUUGUAAACUCCUUUCGUUAGGGACGAAGCCGCACCUUUUUUGGGUGUGGUGACGGUACCUUUGUUAAGAAGCACCGGCUAACUACGUG
RNAcentral lists this ribosomal RNA (492 nucleotides) under uncultured bacterium. RNAcentral's name for it is "partial 16S ribosomal RNA". It matches the Rfam family "Bacterial small subunit ribosomal RNA", at positions 28 to 507 of the family's 1533-position model. The record is from RNAcentral.